GUCCACGCCGUAAACGAUGGACACUAGGCGUCGGGGGGAGCGACCCCCUCGGUGCCGUCGCUAACGCAGUAAGUGUCCCGCCUGGGGAGUACGGCCGCAAGGCUGAAACUCAAAAGGAAUUGACGGGGGCCCGCACAAGCGGUGGAGCAUGUGGUUUAAUUCGAAGCAACGCGAAGAACCUUACCUGGGCUUGACAUGCUGGUGAAAGCCGGUGGAAACAUCGGCCCCUCUUCGGAGCGCCAGCACAGGUGCUGCAUGGCUGUCGU
This 266-nucleotide ribosomal RNA is filed under the name uncultured bacterium. RNAcentral's name for it is "partial 16S ribosomal RNA". It matches the Rfam family "Bacterial small subunit ribosomal RNA", at positions 793 to 1055 of the family's 1533-position model. The record is from RNAcentral.